RNAcentral lists this ribosomal RNA (116 nucleotides) under Escherichia coli. Lineage: Bacteria; Pseudomonadati; Pseudomonadota; Gammaproteobacteria; Enterobacterales; Enterobacteriaceae. The record is from RNAcentral. RNAcentral also lists the same sequence under 1 other name.
CCUGGCGGCCUUAGCGCGGUGGUCCCACCUGACCCCAUGCCGAACUCAGAAGUGAAACGCCGUAGUGCCGAUGGUAGUGUGGGGUCUCCCCAUGCGAGAGUAGGGAACUGCCAGGC